This is a long non-coding RNA of Bactrocera neohumeralis, 321 nucleotides long. RefSeq lists it as uncharacterized. Lineage: Eukaryota; Metazoa; Arthropoda; Insecta; Diptera; Tephritidae. The record is from RefSeq and is a predicted model, not a curated record. The transcript is spliced from 3 exons.
GACUUCUUAACUCGCAUUUAUUUUGUGUCUGUUGCGAAAAAUUAAAAAUUAGUUAUAAGUACACCUGUGACAACAUUUAUAAAUUGAAAAUUCGAAUUUUGAUGUUUUCAAGUGUCCAGAGUACGAUUAUAUUUUUGAAACGGUUAAGUUUACGAAAAAACCGUAGGAGACCGUUUAGAGUAUUAACUAUCCUAUAUCUAUCUAUGAACUUGGAGAGCGUUUCAUAGGGGAUUUGCUCACCAAAUGGUUAUUUAUAACACCUUACCCAAAAUGAAUUGAUAUCGUGCUCCUGUCCAUCUAUGUAAACAGUUAAAACUCGUA